UGCCAGACUCCUACGGGAGGCAGCAGUAGGGAAUUUUCGUCAAUGGGCGCAAGCCUGAACGAGCGAUGCCGCGUGAGUGAAGAAGGCCUUCGGGUCGUAAAGCUCUGUUGCGGGGGAAAAAAGGCAGCAUCAGGAAAUGGGUGCUGACUGAUGGUGCCCCGCCAGAAAGUCACGGCUAACUACGUGCCAGCAGCCGCGGUAAUACGUAGGUGGCGAGCGUUAUCCGGAUUUAUUGGGUUUAAAGGGUGCGCAGGCGGCACGGCAAGCCGGCGGUCAAAUCGCGGGGCUCAACCCCGCCCAGCCGUCGGAACUGCCGGGCUAGAGUGGGCGAGAAGUGCGCGGAAUGCGUGGUGUAGCGGUGAAAUGCAUAGAUAUCACGCAGAACUCCGAUUGCGAAGGCAGCGCACCGGCGCCCUACUGACGCUCAGGCACGAAAGCGUGGGUAUCGAACAGGAUUAGAUACCCGAGUAUG
RNAcentral lists this ribosomal RNA (472 nucleotides) under uncultured bacterium. RNAcentral describes it as "partial 16S ribosomal RNA". It matches the Rfam family "Bacterial small subunit ribosomal RNA", at positions 329 to 794 of the family's 1533-position model. The record is from RNAcentral.